Molecule: ribosomal RNA, 109 nt
Filed under: Heterorhabditis indica
Lineage: Eukaryota; Metazoa; Nematoda; Chromadorea; Rhabditida; Heterorhabditidae
Description: partial 18S ribosomal RNA
Rfam family: Eukaryotic small subunit ribosomal RNA
Source: RNAcentral
CGGGGCUUUCGGGCUCUGGUAUGAUGGAAACCAAUUUAAUCGCAAUGGCUUGAACCGGGCAAAAGUCGUAACAAGGUAUCUGUAGGUGAACCUGCAGAUGGAUCAUCGU